RNAcentral lists this unclassified non-coding RNA (345 nucleotides) under soil metagenome. RNAcentral describes it as "partial contains 5.8S ribosomal RNA, internal transcribed spacer 2, and large subunit ribosomal RNA". The stretch from base 1 to 120 matches the Rfam family "5.8S ribosomal RNA", at positions 35 to 154 of the family's 154-position model. The record is from RNAcentral.
GAUGAAGAACGCAGCGAAAUGCGAUACGUAAUGUGAAUUGCAGAAUUCAGUGAAUCAUCGAGUCUUUGAACGCACAUUGCGCCCCCUGGUAUUCCGGGGGGCAUGCCUGUCCGAGCGUCAUUGCUGCCCUCAAGCACGGCUUGUGUGUUGGGCCUCCGUCCUCCUCCCGGGGGACGGGCCCGAAAGGCAGCGGCGGCACCGCGUCCGGUCCUCGAGCGUAUGGGGCUUCGUCACCCGCUCUUGUAGGACCGGCCGGCGCUUGCCGACACAUCAAUCUUUUUUCCAGGUUGACCUCGGAUCAGGUAGGGAUACCCGCUGAACUUAAGCAUAUCAAUAAGCGGAGGA